RNAcentral lists this ribosomal RNA (691 nucleotides) under Streptomyces viridobrunneus. Its description in RNAcentral is "bacterial SSU rRNA". It matches the Rfam family "Bacterial small subunit ribosomal RNA", at positions 1 to 733 of the family's 1533-position model. Lineage: Bacteria; Bacillati; Actinomycetota; Actinomycetes; Kitasatosporales; Streptomycetaceae. The record is from RNAcentral.
UAGAGUUUGAUCCUGGCUCAGGACGAACGCUGGCGGCGUGCUUAACACAUGCAAGUCGAACGAUGAAGCCCUUCGGGGUGGAUUAGUGGCGAACGGGUGAGUAACACGUGGGCAAUCUGCCCUGCACUCUGGGACAAGCCCUGGAAACGGGGUCUAAUACCGGAUAUUACCGCCGAGGCAUCUCGGCGGGUGGAAAGCUCCGGCGGUGCAGGAUGAGCCCGCGGCCUAUCAGCUUGUUGGUGAGGUAGUGGCUCACCAAGGCGACGACGGGUAGCCGGCCUGAGAGGGCGACCGGCCACACUGGGACUGAGACACGGCCCAGACUCCUACGGGAGGCAGCAGUGGGGAAUAUUGCACAAUGGGCGAAAGCCUGAUGCAGCGACGCCGCGUGAGGGAUGACGGCCUUCGGGUUGUAAACCUCUUUCAGCAGGGAAGAAGCGAGAGUGACGGUACCUGCAGAAGAAGCGCCGGCUAACUACGUGCCAGCAGCCGCGGUAAUACGUAGGGCGCAAGCGUUGUCCGGAAUUAUUGGGCGUAAAGAGCUCGUAGGCGGCUUGUCACGUCGGGUGUGAAAGCCCGGGGCUUAACCCCGGGUUGCAUUCGAUACGGGCAGGCUAGAGUGUGGUAGGGGAGAUCGAUCGGUGUAAAUGGCAGAUAUCAGGAGGAACCGGGCGAAGGCGGUCAGGGAAGG